RNAcentral lists this transfer RNA (67 nucleotides) under Acanthodactylus aureus. RNAcentral describes it as "tRNA-Pro". Lineage: Eukaryota; Metazoa; Chordata; Lepidosauria; Squamata; Lacertidae. The record is from RNAcentral.
CAGAAGAUAGUUUAAAAAAAAUGCUGGUUUUGGGGAUCAGUAAUAAGGGGUAAGCCCUUUCUUUUGA